CUCUGGAGGAAGUUAGUUGCCAUGUCAUGAGGAUAGCCAAGCAGCCUAGGGGGAAGUCCACAUGGCAAGGAACUAAGGACUCCUGCCAACAGCCAGCCAGACACAAACUGUGACCUCCCGCCAACAGGCAUGUGAAUGAGCCGUUUUAGAAUCUGACCCUCUAACCAUGUUCAAGCUUUCAAAUGACUGCAACCACUGCUGACAUGCUAAAUGCAGCCACAUGAGAAACCCUGAGGCAGAAAAACCCAGGUAAGCUAUUCUUGAAUUUCUGGCCCACAGGAACUGAGAUAAUAAAUGUUCGUUGUUUAAAUGCAAAAAAGAAAAAAAAAGUACUUUUGACUUUUCCAACUGAGGAAUGAGAUUAACUAUUUUUCAACUGUGGUAUUUAAAUGUAUCUAAGUGAUUUAAGAAGUAAAAUUUUAGGCUCAACAAAUUCUGUCACAAGAUACGGAUGCUGUACUUCUCCAGUCAGUAUUGGCAGUGCCUUCUAAGCACUUUCAUAAAGCUCUGUUGUGGCACUGUUGUAUUAUACAGUAUGCUAACUACUAUUUCACUCAUCUGCCUGCUUUUCCUUGCUGGACUGUGAGCUCCUUGAGGGCAGAGACCAUGGUUCAUUCAUUUUUAUAUCAUCCAUGCCCAGCUGAAGGUCAGACUCAUUAAAGGCUGGAGUGCAUAUGUGAAUAACAUCACAUGCCAAUCAUUCAGGAGUUAUCCAAUAUGCACUGAUGACACCAAGAGCAGUGAAAAUAACCUCAGCAGAAGCUUCCUGAUGACUGGGCUCCAUCAAGGAAUCUUGUUAUGUCGAUCAAUAUGUCUGAGCCCUUUUAUUUACACCAGAAAAUUGUAAUGUGUUACAUCUGCUGGGAUCAAGCCAAUCUUGAAAUCUGAGACGAUCUGAUGUUAUGCAGUCUGCAUUAGCUUUGCAGUUCCAAUAUGGAGACAAAUAUCUAUAUGUCACCAUAAGGAUCAAAAUCCAAAUUGACUGUAUGAUCGUCAUCGGCAUCUUCCAAAGUUGCUUUCAUCAGAACCUAUGUCCCAGCAUUCCAGCCCCACCACUGUCCCUACCAACCCUUUGAAGCUUCUACUUCUGAUUUUUUCCUCCAUCUGGUCUAUCAUCCAUUCUUAUGCCAUUAUUUUCUUCCUUCAAACCUUGUAUUAUUGCAAAAUGAAUUUCACUGGCCUUUUUGCUAUUGUUGAUAUCAGAAUCCAUUUGAUGCAGUACUCACCAAGCAUUGUAAGCCCCCUAAACCUUCUGAAGACCCCUUACCAAUCUUUUUCUGUAUUGGCUUCUAUCAUUCCAAAUUUUUUGCUUCUGUUGAUAUUGACAAUGAAUUAUAUACCCCCUUAAGCACUAUAUUCCCACUGCCUUGCAUGUGGAAAGUGUUUAA
This is a long non-coding RNA of Symphalangus syndactylus (siamang), 1388 nucleotides long. RefSeq lists it as uncharacterized. NCBI's taxonomy places the organism in Eukaryota, Metazoa, Chordata, Mammalia, Primates, Hylobatidae. The record is from RefSeq and is a predicted model, not a curated record.